RNAcentral lists this long non-coding RNA (1274 nucleotides) under Ixodes scapularis (black-legged tick). RNAcentral's name for it is "uncharacterized LOC120848260, transcript variant X5". Lineage: Eukaryota; Metazoa; Arthropoda; Arachnida; Ixodida; Ixodidae. The record is from RNAcentral.
AUAUCACAGUAUGGGAACAGACCAAUCACGAAUCAAGGCGUUGUAUGCCAGUCAUGAGUCUGUUCUCCGUUGACAACAUGGCAGCUCCUCCAGUGGCUCCUUGCUCAGAAGCACUCAUCAUCGAAAUUGAGCGGUGUCCAUGGCUAUGGAACGCAAGCCGUAUGGACUACAGGGACACUGGGAAGCGCAAAAAUUCCUGGAAGGCAAUUGGAAUCGCUUUCUCUAGGAUUCCAACCCACCAACUGGGGAUUCGAUUCUUUGGGCCGGCGGUUUGCCUCGGAGCCACAGAUGCGGCCUCCCUGCAGCUGUCUGUGACCAUUCACGUCCGAGUGGGCAGCGCACACCCACCCACAACCCACUGCUCGCACCUCUCGUUUGCGUACCUCGCAUAACCAUUUCCCAAAGUCAUGGCACGAAAUGGGAAGCCAUUAUUAAUCGAGCGAUCAGUAAUGAAGAGAUCAAACAGGCAGAACAUAAAAAGACUACAUUUCAAGAUGCUGAAGGAGGUUUGUAAAGUUUGGGUUGAAUACUGGCAAGCAAACCUGGUGCAUGUCUGUUGCACCUAUUGGCUGUCCUAAUUGAAGUUGUGUUAUAAAUCUAGUUCCAUCAUGAUUUCUGUUCUAAAACUUGUAUUCAUAAGCGAUACUUUAGUUAUUUAUGCCACAUUUACUUCAUUCACUUCAGGCAGCGACUCUAACGCCUGCUGUCAGGCUUGGCUGGCCAUGAGGGCCAAGUAUGCGAGAGAAUCGAAGAAACAAAGAGGCCGGAGCGGUGCUGGCCGCGAUGGUCUUGCCGUGCCAACAUGGCACCUCUUCAAGUAACUGGCCUUCCUUAAGGGCCAGAUUCAGCACCGACGGUGAUAUGCUACAUCACUUACUGCUAAGAACAAGCACAGUUGAUAUCGGGUCUGAGUUUAAAACAUUUUUACUCUCUUCCAUCAGCACCAAAGUGCUCCCUGUUGCGGGGGGAGUGGCGUCCACUUCUGCAGCGGCAGCAGACGUUGAAAAAUGAGGCGUGAGCCCAGAGGCAAGUUUGCUUACACGAGAUCCUUGCGGAAAUGUAUUGCCCUGGAGAGACCGCAACCCCCGCAGAAAAUAGACAGCCUGGGAUGCCUGCUGAUGCCGAGAUGGAAGACAUACUGGAGCAUGAAGACAUACAUUUUAUUUAACAACUGCCUUCGAUAAGCAUGUUUGCAAGUGGCUCCUGUGUAAUUACCCUUUUCUCACUCUCCUCUUUCAUUUAAGCGAUUGGCUAUUCUUGGAGGCAGGUCCAAA